Molecule: ribosomal RNA, 514 nt
Filed under: uncultured Entrophosporaceae
Lineage: Eukaryota; Fungi; Glomeromycota; Glomeromycetes; Entrophosporales; Entrophosporaceae
Description: SSU rRNA
Rfam family: Eukaryotic small subunit ribosomal RNA
Source: RNAcentral
AGCAGCCGCGGUAAUUCCAGCUCCAAUAGCGUAUAUUAAAGUUGUUGCAGUUAAAAAGCUCGUAGUUGAAUUUCGGGAUUGACGUGAUGGUCAUGCCUUAAGGGGUAUGAACUGUUACAGUUAAUUCCUCACCUUCUGGAGAAACUUGAUGUCCUUUAUUGGGUGUCUUGCGGAUCCAGGACCUUUACCUUGAAAAAUUAGAGUGUUUAAAGCAGGCAUUUUUGCUCGAAUACAUUAGCAUGGAAUAAUAGAAUAGGACGGCAUGGUUCUAUUUUGUUGGUUUCUAGGAUCACCGUAAUGAUUAAUAGGGAUAGUUGGGGGCAUUAGUAUUCAAUUGUCAGAGGUGAAAUUCUUGGAUUUAUUGAAGACUAACUACUGCGAAAGCAUUUGCCAAGGAUGUUUUCAUUAAUCAAGAACGAAAGUUAGGGGAUCGAAGACGAUCAGAUACCGUCGUAGUCUUAACCAUAAACUAUGCCGACUAGGAAUCAGACGAUGUUAAUUUUUAAUGUACUCG